Molecule: ribosomal RNA, 483 nt
Filed under: uncultured bacterium
Lineage: Bacteria
Description: partial 16S ribosomal RNA
Rfam family: Bacterial small subunit ribosomal RNA
Source: RNAcentral
GACGAACGCUGGCGGCGUGCUUAACACAUGCAAGUCGAACGCUGAAGCUCAGCUUUUGUUGGGUGGAUGAGUGGCGAACGGGUGAGUAACACGUGAGUAACCUGCCUCCUUCUUUGGGAUAACGCCCGGAAACGGGUGCUAAUACUGGAUAUUCACUGGUCUUCGCAUGGGGGUUGGUGGAAAGGGUUUUUCUGGUGGGGGAUGGGCUCGCUGCCUAUCAGCUUGUUGGUGGGGUUAUGGCCUACCGAAGCUUUGACGGGUAGCCGGCCUGAGAGGGUGAACGGUAACAUUGAGACUGAGCUGCGGCCCAGACUCCUCCGGGGGGCAGCAGUGGGGACUAUUGCCCAAUGGGUGCAAGACUGAUGCCGCGUCGCCGCGUGAGGGAUGGAGGCCUUCGAGUUGUGAACCUCUUUCGCUCAUGGUCAAGCCGCAACAAUGGUUGUGGUGAGGGUAGUGGGUAAAGAAGCGCCGGCUAACUACGUG